UCACAUUGCUCAGAUUAGCAAAGCAGUACAAUACUGUAUGCAAAUCUCCUUUACCAGCAUGGUGACUCCUAAUCUUUGUGAAAGUCGAUUACAUUUGACAGUAGCAGGACAAAGAGGAUCCAAGCAGGAAAAGCCAUUUCUGACAGCAAAUUAGUGGAACCUUGUGAAGUAGACCUCGCUGCAGGACAUAGAGUUUUAGGAACCAAGAAAGUACAUUUUACAAGGUUAUGACAUUGCUGUUUGGUCACAAGUGUGGAAAUGCAUGUAAAGUGGUGUGAAAACACAAUGAUGGCAUCAAAGCAUAAUACUACAAACAUCAUUCAAGGUCUGGAUCUCAGCUUUUAGACUCUCCCACCAUUGCUACCCUAUAAUGACUCUGUGAUUUGUCUUGUCAUUCACCUGCACAGUUUUACCGCAGGGUCAGCCUUGUACACAGUGAAGUAAACCCACGCCAAUGGACCUUAGCAGAUAGAGAAGCAUUGGUGGAACUGCAGAGGUAGCAGUCUCUCAGCCUUCUUCCUCCCUGCAUUGCUGCUGCAUAUGGCAUUCCAGAUCUUGGAUCUCAGCUUCGAGACUCUCCAGCCACUCCUCAGAAGUCUCCACAACACACCUAGUUGUUUAAGUCAGAUGGUAGUCUUAUACUCAUCCCGCUUCUGACACCGAUGUAGUGCCAGUGCAGGAAUGGAUCCUCAGCUCUUCGGAUGGCUUUUUGAGCUGGUUUACUAUACUUAAAAAGACUGCUCACCAUUGCCACACCAGAUCGAAUUCUGCUUCCGACACUACAGAAUUCCUGUUUUUAUAGGUGUACCUGCUGCUGAUGAUGCAAUUCCAACUCAGAGUAUUGGUGACUCAUCCCUGGCAAAUGCAACUUGUCAGAACAAUAAUCUAAAUAAACAAUAUAAAACCAAUAAAAAUAAAAUUCUUCUUUACAGAAACCUUUAGUAAGGAAGAUAAAAUCAAACUGUGGAAACCUAAAUACUGGUGAAAUAAGCCUUACAGUAUAAAAUAAAAGCAAGUGUUGUCCUGACAUGAAUGAAUGAACUUUCAGAGGCACUCUUUAAUAUCCUGCACAGCACUGUGAUGACAUCCUUCUAUUUGGAAUACAUUUUUAAAUCUCUUACAAAAGAAGGAAGUUAAAAUUAUACUACUUAUUCAAUACAAGUAUUGUUGUCUAGAAUCCAAAAACAGAAACACAAAUGAUUAAAACAGAAGCUGGAAGAAAGACUUUCAGGGUUAUCUUUAUAUUCUCAAUUCUAAGAUAAGACUGUCUUAUGAAGGAUCACCCAUCUGUAGCAGUGAACCUGUAAUAAGUCCAUCUGAGAUCAACUCUUAGACAAACGGUACAGGAUGUAAUCACAAGCCUUACAAAUUGGUAAACCAGAAUUAUAGGGACAUUCCUAAGUACAUAAUGCUUGUCUUAGACGACGUGCAUCUGCUGGUAUUUGCAUGCAAUAUCGGAUACUGUGUAAUUACAGCCUGAGAUAGCUGGACAAUCUAGGAUUAAAAGGAUAAACUAUAAUGACCAGACCACAUGUUUCUACACUAAAUCUCAUUUUCUGCCCUUGGGUAGCUCCUCUGUUCUUUUAUGAAAUAAUUGAGUUACUGCAUUUUGUAUCUGAUGCCUCCCAUUCCCUGUUUAGGGCACUUUCAUUCUGCAAGCAUUUUGCACACACACUGUAAAUUUACUCUUUAAAUAUGAAAAAUAUCAAGCUUUCUUAUUAGACACUUGGACUAAUGAUGGGAGAUAUAGUCGCAGGAUUACCUCCGAUUCUAGACAUAACUGAAAGGUGAAGGACAUCUGUCUGCUUUGUUGGUCUAAACUGAUCAUAUCUCUGGUUGACUCCUCCAUGAAUAAUUAUUUCUCAGCUCCUUCAAAUCAGAAGACUGUUAAGUUUAAUAUGCUAACAUACAUUUUUUCAAUGCCUGGCUUCAUUUUUUUGAUUUGCCACUGCCUACUUGUGUUACUGAAAGAACUUGAAUUCUGCCUGUUUUCAAAUGUUUGUUGGGAAGCAAUUAUAUUACUAAAAACAUGUACUUUGUUAUUGCAAAAAAAAUUUAAUGCUGUUGUAUCCUUUUGUGUUCUGUCACUUUCAGAUGCUACUUAAUUUUACUUUAUUUUACAGCACAGAGAUUUCUACCAUUUACUUUUUUUACUUAUCUAUUUAAUUUUUUCUGUUGAAGCUUUGAUCUCCCGGUUUUAAACUUAGAUUCUGAAGUAACUUUCAUUACUCCUCACUUUCAUGUUUAAACUAAUAUCAAGCAAAAUAAUAAUUGUUUAAACUGUAACCAAGAUACCCCAUGGACAGAGAAGAGAGCUCCUUCCGUUUUGUUCAUCCUGUUUAAUUCAAUAUGUUCAUCUUACUAUGUUAAUGCCUGCUUAUCUCUCAAACUGGGCCCCUGCUGUGUAAGAUUUGGAAGAUCUAGAGUAUUGUAUAAGAGAGUUAUUUUCACUCUAAGAAUGUGUGCUUAUGGAUUAAUGUGGCUAUUAACAAAGACCACUGAAUCUGCUUCUUAAAGACAAAGAAACACUUACCUUUUUAAAUUUCUUUAUUGUUUUUAAUUUACUAAUUAUGUUAUGUGGAAAACCCUUCCUAUGUAUCUCAAAUAAAAAUAUUAGCUGAAAAAUUCAAAAUAUAACUAUGAAUUUAUUACAGAUAAGAAAAGAAAAUGCCUCUAUGGACAAUAAUCACAUGCGAUGUUUAUGAUGAGAUCAUUUAAACUUUAUACAACAGGCCUCUUUUAUGUCUUUCAAAAGCUUCAUUGCUUCUACUGAUGCAGUAAUUUGUGGCAGUAACCCUUCUUGUUUCCCCAUUACUCUUUUGC
Long non-coding RNA from Polypterus senegalus (gray bichir), 2823 nucleotides. RefSeq lists it as uncharacterized. NCBI's taxonomy places the organism in Eukaryota, Metazoa, Chordata, Cladistia, Polypteriformes, Polypteridae. The transcript is spliced from 3 exons. The record is from RefSeq and is a predicted model, not a curated record.